Molecule: ribosomal RNA, 587 nt
Filed under: uncultured bacterium
Lineage: Bacteria
Description: bacterial SSU rRNA
Rfam family: Bacterial small subunit ribosomal RNA
Source: RNAcentral
ACGGGUGAGUAACGCGUGGGUAAUCUACCCCGGUCUGGGGGAUAACGCACCGAAAGGUGCGCUAAUACCGCAUGACCCGGCGGGUUUUCGGACCUGUCGGAAAAGGUGGCCUCUACUUGUAAGCUACCGAACUGGGAUGAGCCCGCGUCCUAUUAGCUUGUUGGUGGGGUAAAGGCCUACCAAGGCGACGAUGGGUAGCUGGUCUGAGAGGACGGCCAGCCACACUGGAACUGGUACACGGUCCAGACUCCUACGGGAGGCAGCAGUGAGGAAUAUUGCGCAAUGGGGGAAACCCUGACGCAGCGAUGCCGCGUGAGUGAAGAAGGCCUUCGGGUCGUAAAGCUCUGUCGAACGGGAAGAACAGUCCGGGGACGAAUAAUCUCCGGGCCUGACGGUACCGUUGAAGGAAGCACCGGCUAACUCCGUGCCAGCAGCCGCGGUAAGACGGAGGGUGCGAGCGUUAUUCGGAUUUAUUGGGCGUAAAGAGUGUGUAGGCGGUCGAUCAAGUCUGAUGUGAAAGCCCGGGGCUUAACCUCGGAAGGGCGUUGGAAACUGGUCGACUUGAGUUCGGGAGAGGAAAGCGGAAU